GGUUGUCCCGGUUUAAGCGUGUAGGCUGGUUUUCCAGGCAAAUCCGGAAAAUCAAGGCUGAGGCGUGAUGACGAGGCACUACGGUGCUGAAGCAACAAAUGCCCUGCUUCCAGGAAAAGCCUCUAAGCAUCAGGUAACAUCAAAUCGUACCCCAAACCGACACAGGUGGUCAGGUAGAGAAUACCAAGGCGCUUGAGAGAACUCGGGUGAAGGAACUAGGCAAAAUGGUGCCGUAACUUCGGGAGAAGGCACGCUGAUAUGUAGGUGAAGUCCCUUGCGGAUGGAGCUGAAAUCAGUCGAAGAUACCAGCUGGCUGCAACUGUUUAUUAAAAACACAGCACUGUGCAAACACGAAAGUGGACGUAUACGGUGUGACGCCUGCCCGGUGCCGGAAGGUUAAUUGAUGGGGUUAGCGGUAACGCGAAGCUCUUGAUCGAAGCCCCGGUAAACGGCGGCCGUAACUAUAACGGUCCUAAGGUAGCGAAAUUCCUUGUCGGGUAAGUUCCGACCUGCACGAAUGGCGUAAUGAUGGCCAGGCUGUCUCCACCCGAGACUCAGUGAAAUUGAACUCGCUGUGAAGAUGCAGUGUACCCGCGGCAAGACGGAAAGACCCCGUGAACCUUUACUAUAGCUUGACACUGAACAUUGAGCCUUGAUGUGUAGGAUAGGUGGGAGGCUUUGAAGUGUGGACGCCAGUCUGCAUGGAGCCGACCUUGAAAUACCACCCUUUAAUGUUUGAUGUUCUAACGUUGGCCCCUAAUCGGGGUUGCGGACAGUGUCUGGUGGGUAGUUUGACUGGGGCGGUCUCCUCCUAAAGAGUAACGGAGGAGCACGAAGGUUGGCUAAUCCUGGUCGGACAUCAGGAGGUUAGUGCAAUGGCAUAAGCCAGCUUGACUGCGAGCGUGACGGCGCGAGCAGGUGCGAAAGCAGGUCAUAGUGAUCCGGUGGUUCUGAAUGGAAGGGCCAUCGCUCAACGGAUAAAAGGUACUCCGGGGAUAACAGGCUGAUACCGCCCAAGAGUUCAUAUCGACGGCGGUGUUUGGCACCUCGAUGUCGGCUCAUCACAUCCUGGGGCUGAAGUAGGUCCCAAGGGUAUGGCUGUUCGCCAUUUAAAGUGGUACGCGAGCUGGGUUUAGAACGUCGUGAGACAGUUCGGUCCCUAUCUGCCGUGGGCGCUGGAGAACUGAGGGGGGCUGCUCCUAGUACGAGAGGACCGGAGUGGACGCAUCACUGGUGUUCGGGUUGUCAUGCCAAUGGCACUGCCCGGUAGCUAAAUGCGGAAGAGAUAAGUGCUGAAAGCAUCUAAGCACGAAACUUGCCCCGAGAUGAGUUCUCCCUGACUCCCUGAGAGUCCUGAAGGAACGUUGAAGACGACGACGUUGAUAGGCCGGGUGUGUAAGCGCAGCGAUGCGUUGAGCUAACCGGUACUAAUGAACCGUGAGGCUUAACCUU
Molecule: ribosomal RNA, 1452 nt
Filed under: human gut metagenome
Description: bacterial LSU rRNA
Rfam family: Bacterial large subunit ribosomal RNA
Source: RNAcentral